CCUACGGGGCGCAGCAGUGAGGAAUAUUGGUCAAUGGACGAAAGUCUGAACCAGCCAUGCCGCGUGCAGGAAGACGGCUCUAUGAGGUGUAAACUGCUUUUGUACAAGGGUAAACCUGAAUACGUGUAUUCAGCUGAAAGUACUGUACGAAUAAGGAUCGGCUAACUCCGUGCCAGCAGCCGCGGUAAUACGGAGGAUCCAAGCGUUAUCCGGAUUGAUUGGGUUUAAAGGGUGCGUAGGCGGAUUGAUAAGUUAGAGGUGAAAUGUUCGGGCUCAACUCGGGAACUGCCUCUAAUACUGUUGAUCUAGAGAGUAGAUGCGGUAGGCGGAAUGUAUGGUGUAGCGGUGAAAUGCUUAGAGAUCAUACAGAACACCGAUUGCGAAGGCAGCUUACCAAUCUAUAUCUGACGUUGAGGCACGAAAGCGUGGGGAGCAAACAGGAUUAGAUACCCGAGUAGUC
This 460-nucleotide ribosomal RNA is filed under the name uncultured bacterium. RNAcentral's name for it is "partial 16S ribosomal RNA". It matches the Rfam family "Bacterial small subunit ribosomal RNA", at positions 338 to 795 of the family's 1533-position model. The record is from RNAcentral.